GACGAACGCUGGCGGCGUGCUUAACACAUGCCAGUCGAACGGAAAGGCCCUGCUUUUGUGGGGUGCUCGAGUGGCGAACGGGUGAGUAACACGUGAGUAACCUGCCCUUGACUUUGGGAUAACUUCAGGAAACUGGGGCUAAUACCGGAUAGGAGCUCCUGCUGCAUGGUGGGGGUUGGAAAGUUUCGGCGGUUGGGGAUGGACUCGCGGCUUAUCAGCUUGUUGGUGGGGUAGUGGCUUACCAAGGCUUUGACGGGUAGCCGGCCUGAGAGGUUGACCGGCCACAUCGGGACUGAGAUACGGCCCAGACUCCUACGGGAGGCAGCAGUGGGGAAUAUUGCACAAUGGGCGGAAGCCUGAUGCAGCAACGCCGCGUGCGGGAUGACGGCCUUCGGGUUGUAAACCGCUUUCGCCUGUGACGAAGCGUGAGUGACGGUAAUGGGUAAAGAAGCACCGGCUAACUACGUG
RNAcentral lists this ribosomal RNA (468 nucleotides) under uncultured bacterium. RNAcentral's name for it is "partial 16S ribosomal RNA". It matches the Rfam family "Bacterial small subunit ribosomal RNA", at positions 28 to 507 of the family's 1533-position model. The record is from RNAcentral.